RNAcentral lists this ribosomal RNA (1408 nucleotides) under Klebsiella quasipneumoniae. RNAcentral describes it as "bacterial SSU rRNA". It matches the Rfam family "Bacterial small subunit ribosomal RNA". The record is from RNAcentral. Lineage: Bacteria; Pseudomonadati; Pseudomonadota; Gammaproteobacteria; Enterobacterales; Enterobacteriaceae.
UGCAAGUCGAGCGGUAGCACAGAGAGCUUGCUCUCGGGUGACGAGCGGCGGACGGGUGAGUAAUGUCUGGGAAACUGCCUGAUGGAGGGGGAUAACUACUGGAAACGGUAGCUAAUACCGCAUAAUGUCGCAAGACCAAAGUGGGGGACCUUCGGGCCUCAUGCCAUCAGAUGUGCCCAGAUGGGAUUAGCUAGUAGGUGGGGUAACGGCUCACCUAGGCGACGAUCCCUAGCUGGUCUGAGAGGAUGACCAGCCACACUGGAACUGAGACACGGUCCAGACUCCUACGGGAGGCAGCAGUGGGGAAUAUUGCACAAUGGGCGCAAGCCUGAUGCAGCCAUGCCGCGUGUGUGAAGAAGGCCUUCGGGUUGUAAAGCACUUUCAGCGGGGAGGAAGGCGAUAAGGUUAAUAACCUUGUCGAUUGACGUUACCCGCAGAAGAAGCACCGGCUAACUCCGUGCCAGCAGCCGCGGUAAUACGGAGGGUGCAAGCGUUAAUCGGAAUUACUGGGCGUAAAGCGCACGCAGGCGGUCUGUCAAGUCGGAUGUGAAAUCCCCGGGCUCAACCUGGGAACUGCAUUCGAAACUGGCAGGCUAGAGUCUUGUAGAGGGGGGUAGAAUUCCAGGUGUAGCGGUGAAAUGCGUAGAGAUCUGGAGGAAUACCGGUGGCGAAGGCGGCCCCCUGGACAAAGACUGACGCUCAGGUGCGAAAGCGUGGGGAGCAAACAGGAUUAGAUACCCUGGUAGUCCACGCCGUAAACGAUGUCGAUUUGGAGGUUGUGCCCUUGAGGCGUGGCUUCCGGAGCUAACGCGUUAAAUCGACCGCCUGGGGAGUACGGCCGCAAGGUUAAAACUCAAAUGAAUUGACGGGGGCCCGCACAAGCGGUGGAGCAUGUGGUUUAAUUCGAUGCAACGCGAAGAACCUUACCUGGUCUUGACAUCCACAGAACUUUCCAGAGAUGGAUUGGUGCCUUCGGGAACUGUGAGACAGGUGCUGCAUGGCUGUCGUCAGCUCGUGUUGUGAAAUGUUGGGUUAAGUCCCGCAACGAGCGCAACCCUUAUCCUUUGUUGCCAGCGGUUCGGCCGGGAACUCAAAGGAGACUGCCAGUGAUAAACUGGAGGAAGGUGGGGAUGACGUCAAGUCAUCAUGGCCCUUACGACCAGGGCUACACACGUGCUACAAUGGCAUAUACAAAGAGAAGCGACCUCGCGAGAGCAAGCGGACCUCAUAAAGUAUGUCGUAGUCCGGAUUGGAGUCUGCAACUCGACUCCAUGAAGUCGGAAUCGCUAGUAAUCGUAGAUCAGAAUGCUACGGUGAAUACGUUCCCGGGCCUUGUACACACCGCCCGUCACACCAUGGGAGUGGGUUGCAAAAGAAGUAGGUAGCUUAACCUUCGGGAGGGCGCUUA